CGCCAUAGCCAUAUCACCCUGCAGACCAAGACUCACUGAAGCUAAGCAGGGCUGAGCCUGGUCUGUACCUGGAUGGGAGACCACAUGGGAAAUUUGGUUGCUGUUGGAA
RNAcentral lists this ribosomal RNA (109 nucleotides) under Danio rerio (zebrafish). Lineage: Eukaryota; Metazoa; Chordata; Actinopteri; Cypriniformes; Danionidae. The record is from RNAcentral.